GACUACUGGGGUAUCUAAUCCUGUUUGCUCCCCACGCUUUCGCGCCUCAGCGUCAGAAAAGGACCAGAUAGCCGCCUUCGCCACUGGUGUUCUUCCUAAUAUCUACGAAUUUCACCUCUACACUAGGAAUUCCGCUAUCCUCUUCCUUUCUCUAGCUAUCCAGUAUCAAGUGCUAUUCCCGGGUUGAGCCCAGGGCUUUCACACCUAACUCGGAUAACCGCCUACGCGCCCUUUACGCCCAGUAAUUCCGAACAACGCUCGCACCCUUCGUAUUACCGCGGCUGCUGGCACGAAGUUAGCCGGUGCUUAUUCUGCGGGUACCGUCAUCAUCGUCCCCGCCAAAAGAGCUUUACAACCCGAAGGCCUUCUUCACUCACGCGGCAUGGCUGGAUCAGGGUUGCCCCCAUUGUCCAAUAUUCCCCACUGCAGCCUCCCGUAGG
This 440-nucleotide ribosomal RNA is filed under the name uncultured Alphaproteobacteria bacterium. RNAcentral describes it as "partial 16S ribosomal RNA". Lineage: Bacteria; Pseudomonadati; Pseudomonadota; Alphaproteobacteria. The record is from RNAcentral.